GGGCAUUUGGCACAGUGGUAGCGCGCACGCUUUGCAUCUUCGCUUGCGUGAGGUCCAGGGUUCAAUCCCCUGAAUGUCCA
Molecule: transfer RNA, 80 nt
Filed under: Serpula lacrymans var. lacrymans S7.3
Lineage: Eukaryota; Fungi; Basidiomycota; Agaricomycetes; Boletales; Serpulaceae
Rfam family: tRNA
About the family: Transfer RNA (tRNA) molecules are approximately 80 nucleotides in length. Their secondary structure includes four short double-helical elements and three loops (D, anti-codon, and T loops). Further hydrogen bonds mediate the characteristic L-shaped molecular structure. tRNAs have two regions of fundamental functional importance: the anti-codon, which is responsible for specific mRNA codon recognition, and the 3' end, to which the tRNAs corresponding amino acid is attached (by aminoacyl-tRNA synthetases). tRNAs cope with the degeneracy of the genetic code in two manners: having more than one tRNA (with a specific anti-codon) for a particular amino acid; and 'wobble' base-pairing, i.e. permitting non-standard base-pairing at the 3rd anti-codon position.
Source: Rfam by way of RNAcentral